CAAUUGAUUAUUCAGUCUGUGGCCUUCUACUGAAGGAGCAUACAGAAUCUCACCUCCAGGAGCAUGGAGCUCUCUUGGAUAGGAUCCUGCUUUCUGAGGCCAGAGCUUACUCUCCUAUGUGAUCAGAGGCUUUCACAGCAUCCGCAGUGGUCUCCAGAUCAGCCCUAUCAUGGAGGCUUGGUCCAGAGAUCUUCAUAUGAAAAGGGAAAUAAUAAGUGUCUGGGAGACACUUCUGCAGGGAUCCUGCCCUGUCUCAAUAAUCUCCCCCAUGGCCACAGAAAUACCCUGGGAUUUUCCCAGGAGCUAGCCGACACACACAGAUAGAUUAUGAACUUCAGAUAGAAGCCCCAGCCUAGCCCUCACUCUGAUACCUGUCAUCCCCAAACUGCUCUGAAGUGCUUAUGUGCUGGUAUCUCCCAAGAGUCUGCAUGUCAGUGUGUCUGUGCUAGUGUAAUUUAUUUAGAAAAGUGCAAAGGCAAAGGGCAGGAUCAACAGGCAAAGGGCAGGAUCCUGGAGGCUGGAUCUAGGGUCCUCUUACCUGAUUUAUGUCACUGAUUUUCCCAAAUAUUGAUAAAAAUGAAUUGAUCUCUAGGUGGCAGAGAAACAGGAGGAACCCUAGACUACAUAGUAAGUAGAAAAUAAUGCUGCAUGUCAUUUAGAUUGAGCUCAGCCCUGAGUCAUGAAGUCUUCAGAACAAAGGAAUAGUUCUCCCUUAUCUGAUGCUCACUGUGGCCUUGGGCAGCCUGGCAUCGAGAAUUCUCAGCAUGUUCACUCUUGAGUUCUGUGCCUGCAUCACACAGCAAUGGAACAGUCCCAAAAGAUUCUUAAGGGUGGGGAAAGGCACUAAGAAAAGAUGAACCUGCAGUCCCUGUUAUACCAUCUGGUCUAAUUGAUACUACUGUUGUCAAGCAAAAGGAGCUCUCUCCCUGAGGCACUGGAAGCCAAUAUUUUGACACCAGGUUUUUGAGAAAGAAAAGUUUUUUAUUAUUCUGCCUGCCAGACUGAAACACAAAAAUACUCACCUGAUUCCUUCCCACUGCCAGGACAGCCCAGUUUGUGUGACGGUCAUAACAGCACUGUGUGGGAAGGAGGCAGCCAGACCCUGAGAUAAAGGUUUGUGAGUCUGUGACCUCAUCUUCCCUCAGAAGUGCAAUUAUAAUUUUACCUGUAGCAGCAAUGACAGCUGACUUAGGGAGUUGAUAACUUUUUGAAAAACUUUUUGCAGUUGCUAAUUACCAGAGGCAAUUACAACUUUCUCAUAAAUGUCUCCAAAGAGACCACUGAAGUAUCCAAAAGAGGCUCUUACUUUUUCACAAUCCCUGAAGACUGCAAGGAGCAGAAAAUAUUGAGGUUUGAUCUGUGAGGCACUUGUAGAGAAGCAUGUUUGUCUCACUGGAUUUCCUAAUUCUAUGAGAUACUCUUCUUCCUAAAAUCAAGCUCAUCCUUAAUUUGCAGAUCCAUUAUGCCAAGGAAUGUGCAGAUGGAACAUCAUUUCUGAGGGCGUCUGUGAGGAUGAUUCCAGAUGAGAUAAGCAUUCAAAUCGAUGUUCUCAGCUGAGAGGAUUGCCCUCCCUAGUGUCCCUGGGCAUCAUCCAAUCAGUUGAAGGCUUGGAUAGAACAAAAGGUAGAGGAAAGAAGAAUUUACCUCUUUUUCCUCCUGCCUUCCUGCUUGAGCUGGGACAUUGAUCUUUUCCUCCUUUGGUCUAGGACUGGCACCACGGACUUCCUGGUUCUCAGGCCUUUGGGCUCAAACUGGAAUUACAACACUGGCUUUUGUUGGUCUCCACCUUGCAGAUGGCAGAUUGUGAGACUUCUCCAUAAUCUCAUGAGCCAAUUCCUCAUAAUAAUAUUUUUCAUAUAUCUAUGUACACACACACAACUACUGUUUCUGUUUCUCUGGAGAACCCUAUGUGUGCAAUUAUGCACACAUUUUUUGUCUCCUAUGCAUAUUCUUUAUUUUUCUUUAAGAGAUGGGGUCUUACUUUGUC
This 1987-nucleotide long non-coding RNA is filed under the name Homo sapiens (human). Its description in RNAcentral is "HSALNT0398622". The record is from RNAcentral. Lineage: Eukaryota; Metazoa; Chordata; Mammalia; Primates; Hominidae.